AGCGAACGCUGGCGGCAGGCCUAACACAUGCAAGUCGAACGAACUCUUCGGAGUUAGUGGCUGCUGGGGGGGUAAACGGUUGGAACGCGCCUUUAUGAUCGGCAUAACUCAGGGAAACUAGUGCUAAUACCGAAUGUGACCUCCGGGGGAUAGAUUUAUCGCCAUUAGAGCGUCCCGCGUCUGAUUUGCUGGUUGGUGAGGUCAAGGCACACCUAGGCGACGAUCAGUAGCUGGUCUGAGAGGAUGAUCAGCCACAUUGGGAACGAGACACGGCCCAAACUCCUACGGAAGGCAGCAGUGGGGAAUCUUGCGCAAGGGGCGAAAGCCUGACGCAGCCAUGCCGGGGGAAUCAUGAAGGUGUUAGGAUUGUAAAAUUCUUUCACCGGAGACGAUAAUGACGGUACCCGGAGAAGAAGCCCCGGCUAACUUCGUG
This 433-nucleotide ribosomal RNA is filed under the name uncultured bacterium. Its description in RNAcentral is "partial 16S ribosomal RNA". It matches the Rfam family "Bacterial small subunit ribosomal RNA", at positions 29 to 507 of the family's 1533-position model. The record is from RNAcentral.